Molecule: ribosomal RNA, 468 nt
Filed under: uncultured bacterium
Lineage: Bacteria
Description: partial 16S ribosomal RNA
Rfam family: Bacterial small subunit ribosomal RNA
Source: RNAcentral
GACGAACGCUGGCGGCGUGCUUAACACAUGCAAGUCGAACGGAAAGGCCCUGCUUUUGUGGGGUGCUCGAGUGGCGAACGGGUGAGUAACACGUGAGUAACCUGCCCUUGACUUUGGGAGAACUUCAGGAAACUGGGGCUAAUACCGGAUAGGAUCUCUUGCUGCAUGGUGGGGGUUGGAAAGUUUCGGCGGUUGGGGAUGGUCUCGCGGCUUAUCAGCUUGUUGGUGGGGUAGGGGCUGACCAAGGCUUUGACGGGUAGCCCGCGUGAGAGGGUGACCGGGCACCAUGGGACUGCGAUACGGAGCAGACUGCUACGGGCGGCAGCAGUCGAGAGUAUUGCACAAUGAGGCGAAGCCUGUGGCAGCGACGCCGCGUGCGGGAUGCCGGCCUUCGGGUUGUAAACCGCUUUCGCCUGUGCCGAAGCGUGAGUGACGGUAAUGGGUAAAGAAGCACCGGCUAACUACGUG